Molecule: long non-coding RNA, 543 nt
Organism: Anser brachyrhynchus (Pink-footed goose)
Lineage: Eukaryota; Metazoa; Chordata; Aves; Anseriformes; Anatidae
Source: Ensembl
GCCUGGGAGCAGAGCUAAGUUCCCCAGCCUGACUCUUUUUAUUUUUCUUUUCAUUCUUCAAGUUCUUUACAAGGAGACAGAUUUUGACCAGUGAGAGAGGGGAAACAUCCCUGUGGUAUAAGCAAGAUUCUCAAGAUUUUUCAACAGAAGAUAAAGGAAAAAAGAGGUGGAAAGAUGGUGGGAAGCUGCUUCACACUGGGGAGGCUGAUGGAGAUCACUGGAUGAGCAGCUACUGAAAGGUGUGCCAGGACAGGAAACUGCAUUUGUUUUCCGCUGAGGGAGAAGCCUUUGCUGCACAGAGGUUGAUCAGACUGGGGAGUUUCUGCCAUUUCUGUGACGAGGCUGUGGGCACCUCUUGGCCUGCAGCUCUGGUACUGACUGCUGCUGGGCACAGCGGGUGUCUGGAGAGGGCCUGGCGUAGGAACGAGGAGCACGUCCUGCUGCAUUAACAUGGAAAUCCCUCUGAAACUGAACCUAAUCUGGGUGAGUCGGGAUCAUCUUUCUGUCUCUCAGCUUCCUCAUAUUUAAGAAGCAGCUGGGCUG